GGAUGCGAUCAUACAAGCACUAAAGCACAGGAUCCCGUUAGAACUCCGAAGUUAAUCAUGCUUGGGUGAGAGUAGUACUACGAUGGGUGACCUCCUGGGAAGUCCUCGUGUUGCAUUCC
This is a non-coding RNA of Triticum aestivum (bread wheat), 119 nucleotides long. NCBI's taxonomy places the organism in Eukaryota, Viridiplantae, Streptophyta, Magnoliopsida, Poales, Poaceae. The record is from Rfam.